AGUGAACGCUGGCGGUAGGCCUAACACAUGCAAGUCGAACGGCAGCACAGUAAGAGCUUGCUCGUACGGGUGGCGAGUGGCGGACGGGUGAGGAAUACAUCGGAAUCUACUUUUUCGUGGGGGAUAACGUAGGGAAACUUACGCUAAUACCGCAUACGACCUACGGGUGAAAGCAGGGGAUCUUCGGACCUUGCGCGAUUGAAUGAGCCGAUGUCGGAUUAGCUAGUUGGCGGGGUAAAGGCCCACCAAGGCGACGAUCCGUAGCUGGUCUGAGAGGAUGAUCAGCCACACUGGAACUGAGACACGGUCCAGACUCCUACGGGAGGCAGCAGUGGGGAAUAUUGGGCAAUGGGCGCAAGCCUGAUCCAGCCAUACCGCGUGGGUGAAGAAGGCCUUCGGGUUGUAAAGCCCUUUUGUUGGGAAAGAAAAGCAGCAGGUUAAUACCCCGCUGUUCUGACGGUACCCAAAGAAUAAGCACCGGCUAACUUCGUG
Molecule: ribosomal RNA, 492 nt
Filed under: uncultured bacterium
Lineage: Bacteria
Description: partial 16S ribosomal RNA
Rfam family: Bacterial small subunit ribosomal RNA
Source: RNAcentral